Long non-coding RNA from Polyodon spathula (Mississippi paddlefish), 3912 nucleotides. RefSeq lists it as uncharacterized. The record is from RefSeq and is a predicted model, not a curated record. The transcript has 5 exons. Lineage: Eukaryota; Metazoa; Chordata; Actinopteri; Acipenseriformes; Polyodontidae.
UCCUGUUACUUUUCUAGAUACACAGGUGCAUGAAUAGAUAGUCAGGCUCCUUCUUAUUACCUGUAUUCUCAUUAAAUACAUGACACACAAGUAGAGCAUUACAUUCGAGUUUUACAUCUCUCAGGCAACUCGGAGGUCAUCACAACCAUCUUUAAGUAUGAGGAAGUUCGUCUGGACUCCUUUAAAACUUGGCCAGAAGAUGCUAAAGCAGACCCCAGCAUGCUUGCAAAGCCAGGGUUAUUUUAUACAGGUGCUGGAGAUGCUGUCCAGUGCUUUCAGUGUGGUGCAAGAUUAAUACAGUGUAAGUUGGAGGACGAUCCUUGGGCAGAGCAUGCUAAACAAAUCCAAGCUGCCAGUUUGCUGCAUGAGAGCAGUCAAAGACAAGAACGAGAGUACAAGCAAAUUAACAACUUCGAAUGAGGUAAUAGUCUCAUCUUAAAGGGAAAACUAACAGUACAGUCAAUCAAAUACAUUUGAUAGACUCUUAAAGAUAAUAAGAACCCAAGAUAGUUGCCUCCCCCUUUACACUGAUGUCUGGCUGCAGGUUGCUCUUGAUACUUUUGGUUGUUCAGAUACAGUAUGUUUCACAUUGUAAUGCAACUGGCUGCGUUGAAUAUUCUGAAAAGUUCUUCUAUCAACCUUUUGCUCAAAAACUUAAAAAACAGGCAGAAGCAACUCAUCUGGAGAACACUGUCUCAAGUGCUUUGAAAGAAACAAACUCAUCCAUCACUGGUAACUAUAGUAAAUUAUGCAUUCAUGCACUUGAACACAUACACACACAAACCUUGCUAAUAAUUAGUUGAACAGGGUGUUUAAGAGAUGUGUGUAAUUUUGCUAUAACUACAAUAACAUUAUAUUAGCGCAGGUAAAGGGGAAAAGCAUUUAACAAAGGAUAUAUGGUUUGGGGGCAGGACCGUUUGCUUAGCUUGAAAGAGAGUGGAAUAAACAUGCUGGACAUCCCUGGAGACCAAACAGCUUUGAAAAUCCAUUUCAUAUGUUAGGCACAGGGCAUACUCAAACCUGAGAGUACUAAUAUGGAGCGUAUUGAAGCUUUUGAAAUUAAUUAUUUUGCAGUCUUCAAGGGUCUUUACAAAAUACUCAAUAAAACUUUAGUAUCCCUCUUUUCACAUGUUAAUCAUUUCCCUGAAACUCAUGCAUUUGCAAAUGUGUUUACCUGAACAAUGGCAUAGAUUCAAAUUUUACAUGGAGUUUUCCCAUAAGAAGAAAAUUGCUGCUGUUUAUGUUCAAAACAACAAUGUCUAUAAAUGCGCAAAUAAUAAACUAUAUUGUGUCCUUCAAAUAAGCACUAUUAUUAUUAUACUUAUUAUUAUGCUUAGAGAUACCUUGUCUGGGAUUUUAAAACAUUGACAGGUUUUACUUUUUUUUUUUUUUUUUUUUAAUUUACAGACCAAAGUCCUGAAGAAAACAUUUGGUUUUUAAAAGAAAAUGGCUUUUUUGUUCAGCUGAGGAAAACAUAUAACAACUUAAACUUCAGGAAAAUCUUCUCAUUGUCUGACUUUGUGCGUACUACCCCAGACCUCAAAAGUCUGUUUGCUUGGCUUCCCCUGAUUUCUAAGAGCCUGAAAAACAAGCCAGUCUGUCAAGUUUCCUUCUGAGGGAUCUGAGCCUCAUCACAGUCAUUGAAGGGGAAGUGGGCAGUGGAAAAUUAGCCUUGCUCAGGAGAAUUGCAAUUCUGUGGGCAUCUGGGAGCUGCCCUGUGCUGCAGAGGUUCAAGCUGGUCUUUUACCGCCCUCUCAACUCAUUGAGCAAUGAUCAGAGUCUGGCUGGAGCAAUUUCAGAAGAGCUGUGCAGCAUAGGCACACACCUGACUGAGGAGUCUAUCAAUGAUAUCAUCUACCACCUGAAAGACCAGGUCUUAUUCCUGCUGGAUGAUUACGGCGCUGCAGGUUCAGCUCCGAAAUGCAUUCAAGAUCUGAUUGUGAAGCACCACAUGAAUAAAGUUAGCGUGGUCAUUGGAGUCCAAAUGAACAGAACAGCAGCAGUGCGUCAGUAUGCAUCUUCAGUUCUCAUGAUCGCAGCAUUCCCAGUGUACUGCACUGUAUUUAUCUUGAAGAAUCUCGUCUCCCACAACAUUAGUCUUGUGGAAGGUUUUUUUGUUCAGCUGGGCAUGUCACAGUCGUUGUAAGGCAUUUUAAAAACACAACUUUUCACUAUUGCCAUUUGUGCUCUGUGGGUCCAGUACCGCCAAAAGAAUACGCACAACAAUGACAUUUGUGAAGCUUACCUGCACUAUAUUAAGCUGAAGCAUCUCCGUCAAUCAGAAAAGAUGAGAUGCAUGAUAUCAUUCAGUGGAGACCUUGCCUUGGACGGACUGUUUGACCAGUGCUUUGAGUUCAAUGAUAAAGACCUCGAAGAGGCAGGGAUUGACGCUGAAGAGGCUAUCCAUCUGGGUUUAUUGAGCAAGUUCACAGCCCAAAUGCUCAAGCCUGCGUACAAAUUCUUUCAUGCAUCUUUCCAGGAGUACCUGGCUGGCAAGCGCCUGAGUGAGCUCCUUGAAUCUGACUCCCAGGAACAUGCAGCGAAAGGCUGCCAUUAUCUGAAGAAAAUUGACACGUUCCUGAAGAUCAUGGUUCAUUAUAAAUUCUUUUUUGCUCUAUGCAUGCAGUUCCUCUGCAUUAGCCACUCAGAAAAUCGUCAUUCACUUGUUUUGUGUUGCUGAAAGCAAAGGGUUUUAUGAUUCCAGUUCAGAGAAUGGCAAGCAUGUGCCCAAUCAUGUGGAACUUUCUGUUCUUGAGGAGUUACUAAGCGUUGUCCUUCCUAUGGGAACUAAUUUUGACAUUUUAAAGGAUCAUUUUCUAGAGUUUGCAGUUGGAGUUGCUUAUUCUGGUAAUUCGGUCUCUGCCUGCGUUCCUCGUAUCCUGGAAUUCCUCACUGGUAAAAGUUUAAACCUUACAGUUUCAAGUGCGUUCAAUCAGUUUGUUAGAGAAUACCCUGAGUCGCUGGAAUUAUUGAGUGACAUAAACAUAGUAAUAUCUGGACACAAAAAAGAGCAAUUUCCAGACCUUGUGAAAAUGGGUAAGAUGUUAGAACCACAUGGCAAGCCAGUUGUUGAAGAAUAGUUUGCCUCGUCAUACCAACUUAUAAGUAGUGUUGCUGAGAAAACACGUACUUUGAGAAAUUCAGAGGGAUGAAACACAGACAACUUCCAGACUCCAUAGGUCAAACUUUCUUAACAGCAGAAGAUAAGUAUAAAAUGCCAUUGCUCACACUUAAUGUGCUUCAUGUGGAUGGAAUAGAUGAAAGGGACUGCAAGAAUCUGAUGGUGCUCUUUUCAGUUUUGGAACAAGUGGAGUUAACCUUGAGUAACAGUGAAGGAUUUCUUGAAAUUAUUCAGCCUGCUCUUGAGAUACACAAAGGGAUUUUCUGAAAAAUCAAAGUUCAUUGCACCCAUUUAAGUACACAGGAGGAAGAACUGAUUGUAUUGAUGUCUGCCCUUCAAUCGUUGCAUUUGACAUUCAGCCAAGUGCCAGAGUAUUUGAUGCAAAAUUUGGAUACAUUUUGUCAUCUUAAAGAGCUAUUAAUUGAUGGUCCAAGUGACAGCAAAGUGUUUGACAUGAUACCUAAUGGCUUCGGAAGUCUUCACCAUAUGGAAAAACUCAUUCUUUAGAAUGUGACCCUCAUAGAGGAUUCCAGCAGACUUGCCCAGUUUGUUCAGCAGUUUUCCAGUCUCCAGGUUUUCCACCUCAGUUGCAGUAUCUGCCCAGGGUUGGCUGAUAUCAUUACUUCACUUGCAAACUGCAAGAAGUUUGAACAGAUCUUCUUUAGAGGUUCUACUCACAGUGAUCUUGGCGAUUUACCUUUUGGUAAGAGGGUUGAGCAACCAGUUUAUGUACUGUAGAGGAUGCUCCAUGAGCAGCCAUAGAGAACUGGAGUUGUUCUAGAAAUGAGGAU